UUUUCAGCAGCCGCGGUAAUACGUAGGGUGCGAGCGUUAAUCGGAAUUACUGGGCGUAAAGCGUGCGUAGGCGGUUUCGCAAGUCCGCUGUGAAAGCCCCGGGCUUAACCUGGGAAUGGCAGUGGAAACUAUGGGACUUGAAUCUGGCAGAGGGGGGUGGAAUGCCACGUGUAGCAGUGAAAUGCGUAGAGAUGUGGCGGAACACCGAUGGCGAAGGCAGCCCCCUGGGCCAAGAUUGACGCUCAGGCACGAAAGCGUGGGGAGCAAACAGGAUUAGAAACCCCGGUAGUCC
This 292-nucleotide ribosomal RNA is filed under the name uncultured bacterium. RNAcentral describes it as "partial 16S ribosomal RNA". It matches the Rfam family "Bacterial small subunit ribosomal RNA", at positions 505 to 796 of the family's 1533-position model. The record is from RNAcentral.